Molecule: ribosomal RNA, 623 nt
Filed under: Sphaerophorus sp. MW-2003
Lineage: Eukaryota; Fungi; Ascomycota; Lecanoromycetes; Lecanorales; Sphaerophoraceae
Description: LSU rRNA
Rfam family: Eukaryotic large subunit ribosomal RNA
Source: RNAcentral
GAUUGACCUCGGAUCAGGUAGGGAUACCCGCUGAACUUAAGCAUAUCAAUAAGCGGAGGAAAAGAAACCAACAGGGAUUGCCUCAGUAACGGCGAGUGAAGCGGCAACAGCUCAAAUUUGAAAUCUGGCUCCUUCGGGGCCCGAGUUGUAAUUUGCAGAGGACGUUUCGGGUGCGGCCCGGUCUAAGUCCCUUGGAACAGGGCGUCAUAGAGGGUGAGAAUCCCGUAUGUGACCGGUGACCAACCCCAUGUGAAACCCCUUCGACGAGUCGAGUUGUUUGGGAAUGCAGCUCAAAAUGGGUGGUAAAUUCCAUCUAAAGCUAAAUACUGGCCAGAGACCGAUAGCGCACAAGUAGAGUGAUCGAAAGAUGAAAAGCACUUUGGAAAGAGAGUCAAACAGUACGUGAAAUUGUUGAAAGGGAAGCGCUGGCAACCAGACCUGCCCCGGGCGAUCAGCGGGUGUUCUCACCCGUGCACUCGCCCGCGAUCAGGCCAGCAUCGGUUUCGGCGGUCGGAUACAGACCCGGGGAACGUGGCUCUCUUCGGGGAGUGUUAUAGCCCCGGGUGCAAUGCGGCCAGCCGGGACCCGAGGACCGCGCUUCGGCUAGAUGAUGGCGUAAUGGU